This 336-nucleotide ribosomal RNA is filed under the name Triticum aestivum (bread wheat). RNAcentral describes it as "partial small subunit ribosomal RNA". The record is from RNAcentral. Lineage: Eukaryota; Viridiplantae; Streptophyta; Magnoliopsida; Poales; Poaceae.
GCCGAGAGCAGCAGGUCAUGCAGAUGCGAGUGCACUGCUUUGAUAUGGCUCUUUCGGGCUUCUAAUAGUUUGUAUGUAACAGAGCACCAUGUAAACCACAACCAUUCCAUGUCUCACCAUGGGCCAAGGGAAAACAAUGUAAACCUCGGGAAGGUGUACAACAUUAUUGGAAGUGUCUUCAGCUCGGUUGAGAAGGUGUUGUUCACAAAGAGGGCGCUCAUGAACAUAUGGUGUAAGAUAAGCCGAGAGCGAGCUGAUGACGAUGUGAGAAAGACGUUGGAAGUGUUCGCAGACAUUGUUGCAGGGGACCCAGACUUUACAUAUUCUUGCCGAUAG